Molecule: ribosomal RNA, 165 nt
Filed under: uncultured bacterium
Lineage: Bacteria
Description: partial 16S rRNA
Rfam family: Bacterial small subunit ribosomal RNA
Source: RNAcentral
GUAGGGAAUCUUCCACAAUGGACGCAAGUCUGAUGGAGCAACGCCGCGUGAGUGAAGAAGGUCUUCGGAUCGUAAAACUCUGUUGUUAGAGAAGAACACGAGUGAGAGUAACUGUUCAUUCGAUGACGGUAUCUAACCAGCAAGUCACGGCUAACUACGUGCCAG